RNAcentral lists this long non-coding RNA (412 nucleotides) under Monodelphis domestica (gray short-tailed opossum). RNAcentral's name for it is "lncRNA (ENSMODG00000036213.2)". Lineage: Eukaryota; Metazoa; Chordata; Mammalia; Didelphimorphia; Didelphidae. The record is from RNAcentral.
AAGGCAAAACUCAAAUAAAAUGGUUUGUCUUUCUUUUCUUCAAAGGGUAGAAAUCAAGGGAAGAUGUUGACUCUUCAGUUACCCUGGAGUCAGAAGGAACUUUGUGAACAGAAGAUUUCUCUUCUGAAGGAAAUCAAUGGACUGACUGCUCAGAAAGAAACUGUUUGAAAAUGGCUGUCAUAAUAAAUAGCCAAGUGAUUUCCUGUCUGAAAAUAUGUGGGCCAAGCUGUCAGAAUGAGAUCCCUGGAGGUGGUCUAGAGGGCUGGCAAAGGGAUAUUUGGCUGGGAGCCUGUCACCAGCUUUGCAAACAACUAGAAACUAAAGGGAUGCCUAUCAAUUGGGAAAUGGCCAAAUAAGUUGUGGUAUGUGUUUAGAAUGGUAUACUAAUUUGCCAUAAGAAAUAACAAACAAG